UCGAGGAUCAUUCGCAAUGGGCGCAAGCCUGACGGUGCGACGCCGCGUGUAGGAUGAAGGCCUUCGGGUCGUAAACUACUGUCAUGAGGGAGCAACGGUUCUGGUGUUAACACCACCGGGAAGUGAUAGUACCUCAGGAGGAAGCCACGGCUAACUCUGUGCCAGCAGCCGCGGUAAUACAGAGGCGGCAAGCGUUGUUCGGAUUUACUGGGCGUAAAGGGUGCGUAGGCGGUUCCGUGUGUCGGAUGUGAAAUUUCACUGCUUAACGGUGUAACUGCAUCCGAAACUACGGGGCUAGAGUUCAGGAGAGGAGAGCGGAAUUCUCGGUGUAGCGGUGAAAUGCGUAGAUAUCGAGAGGAACACCGGUGGCGAAGGCGGCUCUCUGGACUGAUACUGACGCUGAGGCACGAAAGCUGGGGGAGCAAACAG
Molecule: ribosomal RNA, 429 nt
Filed under: uncultured bacterium
Lineage: Bacteria
Description: bacterial SSU rRNA
Rfam family: Bacterial small subunit ribosomal RNA
Source: RNAcentral